Molecule: long non-coding RNA, 287 nt
Filed under: Sus scrofa (pig)
Lineage: Eukaryota; Metazoa; Chordata; Mammalia; Artiodactyla; Suidae
Description: lncRNA (ENSSSCG00035019257.1)
Source: RNAcentral
UCAGAGGGAGAUCCGACGCCUGCGGAAGCAGCACCUGCUCGCGCACCAGGAGAGGAAGCUGCUCCUGCAGCAUCAGAAGGACGCCCUGUCCAUGCAGAGGUCCACCGCCCUCUCGCAGCAGGAGCCUCGGGCCCAGACCGGGCUGCUCCAGAGUUCCAGCCCCGAAGUCAAGGCCGCCCGGCAGGAGGGCUCUGAGACAAGCUGGCAGCCAGAGGGGCCUGCACGGGGCUCCUUGUGCCCCCCGACACCACAGCACAUCAGCCACCGCCCCUCCGGGAGCCCUGAGG